This 253-nucleotide ribosomal RNA is filed under the name uncultured bacterium. Its description in RNAcentral is "partial 16S ribosomal RNA". It matches the Rfam family "Bacterial small subunit ribosomal RNA", at positions 524 to 776 of the family's 1533-position model. The record is from RNAcentral.
UACGUAGGGUGCGAGCGUUGUCCGGAAUUAUUGGGCGUAAAGAGCUUGUAGGCGGUUUGUCGCGUCUGCUGUGAAAUCUCAAGGCUCAACCUUGAGCUUGCAGUGGGUACGGGCAGACUAGAGUGUGGUAGGGGAGACUGGAAUUCCUGGUGUAGCGGUGAAAUGCGCAGAUAUCAGGAAGAACACCCGUGGCGAAGGCGGUUCUCUGGGACGGUACUGACGCUGAGACGCGAAAGCGUGGGGAGCGAACAGG